UACGUAGGGUGCAAGCGUUAAUCGGAAUUACUGGGCGUAAAGCGUGCGCAGGCGGUUGUGCAAGACAGAUGUGAAAUCCCCGGGCUCAACCUGGGAACUGCAUUUGUGACUGCACGGCUGGAGUGCGGCAGAGGGGGAUGGAAUUCCGCGUGUAGCAGUGAAAUGCGUAGAGAUGCGGAGGAACACCGAUGGCGAAGGCAGCCCCCUGGGCCAACACUGACGCUCAGGCACGAAAGCGUGGGGAGCAAACAGG
RNAcentral lists this ribosomal RNA (253 nucleotides) under uncultured bacterium. RNAcentral describes it as "partial 16S ribosomal RNA". It matches the Rfam family "Bacterial small subunit ribosomal RNA", at positions 524 to 776 of the family's 1533-position model. The record is from RNAcentral.